AGGACGAACGCUGGCGGCGUGCUUAACACAUGCAAGUCGAGCGGUAAGGCCUUUCGGGGUACACGAGCGGCGAACGGGUGAGUAACUCGUGGGUGAUCUGCCCUGCACUCUGGGAUAAGCCUGGGAAACUGGGUCUAAUACCGGAUAUGACCUGCUCUCGCAGUGGGGGUGGGUAGGAAAGAUUUAGUCGGUGCAGGAUCGGGCCCGCGGCCUAUCAGUCUUGGUUGGGUGGGUAAUCGGCCUACCGAAGGCGACGACGGGUAGCCGACCUGAGAGGGUGACCGGCCACGACGUGGGACUGAGACACGGCCCAGACCUCCGUACGGGAGCAGCAGGUGGGAAU
RNAcentral lists this ribosomal RNA (343 nucleotides) under uncultured soil bacterium. RNAcentral's name for it is "bacterial SSU rRNA". It matches the Rfam family "Bacterial small subunit ribosomal RNA", at positions 26 to 362 of the family's 1533-position model. The record is from RNAcentral.